CCAGACUCCUACGGGAGGCAGCAGUGGGGAAUAUUGGUCAAUGGGCUUACGCCUGAACCAGCCAAGUCGCGUGAGGGAAGACUGCCCUAUGGGUUGUAAACCUCUUUUGUCAGGGAGCAAAGUCACCCACGUGUGGGUGUUGGAGAGUACCUGAAGAAAAAGCAUCGGCUAACUCCGUGCCAGCAGCCGCGGUAAUACGGAGGAUGCGAGCGUUAUCCGGAUUUAUUGGGUUUAAAGGGUGCGCAGGCGGAGGUGCAAGUCAGCGGUCAAAUUGCGGGGCUCAACCCCGUACUGCCGUUGAAACUGCAUCCCUUGAGUGCGCGAGAAGUAUGCGGAAUGCGUGGUGUAGCGGUGAAAUGCAUAGAUAUCACGCAGAACUCCGAUUGCGAAGGCAGCAUACCGGCGCGCAACUGACGCUCAUGCACGAAAGCGUGGGUAUCGAACAGGAUUAGAUACCCCCGUAGAG
This 466-nucleotide ribosomal RNA is filed under the name uncultured bacterium. Its description in RNAcentral is "bacterial SSU rRNA". It matches the Rfam family "Bacterial small subunit ribosomal RNA", at positions 331 to 795 of the family's 1533-position model. The record is from RNAcentral.